Molecule: ribosomal RNA, 253 nt
Filed under: uncultured bacterium
Lineage: Bacteria
Description: partial 16S ribosomal RNA
Rfam family: Bacterial small subunit ribosomal RNA
Source: RNAcentral
UACGUAGGGGGCAAGCGUUGUCCGGAUUUAUUGGGCGUAAAGAGCGUGUAGGCGGCCAUACAGGUCAGCUGUGAAAACUCGAGGCUCAACCUCGAGACGUCGGUUGAAACCGUAUGGCUAGAGUCCGGAAGAGGAGAGUGGAAUUCCCGGUGUAGCGGUGAAAUGCGCAGAUAUCGGGAGGAACACCUAUGGCGAAGGCAGCUCGCUGGGACGUUACUGACGCUGAGACGCGAAAGCGUGGGGAGCAAACAGG